This 1062-nucleotide ribosomal RNA is filed under the name Triticum aestivum (bread wheat). RNAcentral describes it as "partial small subunit ribosomal RNA". Lineage: Eukaryota; Viridiplantae; Streptophyta; Magnoliopsida; Poales; Poaceae. The record is from RNAcentral.
AUGCUUCCAAGUGGUGGAGAUGAUGCUCAUGAUGUUCCAUUGAGUAGUGGGUGCAAUGUUGGUACCAAAGUUGCUGAUGAGGAUGCUGGUGCUGCCAGCAUACUUGAUGCCAAAUUGCCUGGUGUUGGUAUUGCUGGGAAUGAAAAUGUUUCUGGUUGUGAAGAUUUGCCGCCAGAGAAUUUCCCGCCUGGAGGUCUUGAUUACGGUGAUGCAUUGCAAUAUGCUUCUAGCAUGGAGGAGGUGCCAUCCGAGGAUGAUGAUUUACUUCUGUCAAUUUCUUCUGACCCCUUGACGCAGGAGGCGCUCUUGUCGUCCCAGGAUUUUCUUUCUACAGACCGUGAAAGCGCAUCAAUAUUGGUGUCCUCUCAAGAUGUCCCAUUGUCAAACCCUGAAACUGGAGGCAUAAUGGUCUCAUCACAGGAACUACCGUCGUCGUCAAACCCUGAUAGUCCAGUUGUUGAACUUAUUAUUUUUCAUCAUUUUCUACAAGCAGAAAGUGGUAAUGUUGUUAAGAAGUACCGAGACACUGACAAGUUGAUAGUUCCCAGAUGGGUGACGACCAAGAUCCGUGAUGGAAAUAUUGAUUCCAAUGUGCUAAAUUGGUUCACAAGAUCAGGUGCUGAUGGUUUUGACCAAUUUUGGGAGCUUCUUUUCCCUACAUUUGAUCCGCCGUCAUUUGUGGCUACCAUGAAGCCUAGUGAAGUAUCUGGGCAUUGGUGCUUGGUUGUUCUGAAUUUGAAGUUCCGUCAUUUCGAGUGUCUUGAUUCACUCCGUGAUGAAACCUGGGGUGAUGCAGUUAGAUUCUUAAGGAAUAUGACAGAUAAUAUAAAGAAGCUUUGGAGGGAGUCCAGUGUAGACAGGGCCAAACCGUUCUCACCGGCGCAUAUUGAUGGUUUCUCUUGCGAGUUUGUCAAGACCUAUUAUUGCCGGGAGGAUGGUGUAAUUGAAAUGGCCGAUUACAGCCAUGCAGACAUUUUGGACAUUAGGAAGACUUUGUUGUAUACCUGCGCAACUAGCGAUGUGUUUGAUGUUGACUUCCGGGGUGAGUGGCUGGAUUGGUGA